This 396-nucleotide ribosomal RNA is filed under the name uncultured bacterium. RNAcentral's name for it is "partial 16S ribosomal RNA". It matches the Rfam family "Bacterial small subunit ribosomal RNA", at positions 523 to 918 of the family's 1533-position model. The record is from RNAcentral.
AUACGUAGGUGGCAAGCGUUGUCCGGAAUUAUUGGGCGUAAAGCGCAUGUAGGCGGUAAUUUAAGUCUGUCGUGAAACUGCGGGGCUCAGCCCCGUAUGGCGCUGGAAACUGGGUUACUUGAGGGCAGGAGAGGAAAGGGGAACUCCCAGUGUAGAGGUGAAAUGCGUAGAUAUUGGGAAGAACACCGGUGGAGAAGGCGCCUUUCUGGACUGUGUCUGACGCUGAGAUGCGAAAGCCAGGGUAGCGAACGGGAUUAGAUACCCCGGUAGUCCUGGCCGUAAACGAUGGGUACUAGGUGUGGGAGGUAUCGACCCCUUCCGUGCCGGAGUUAACGCAAUAAGUACCCCGCCUGGGGAGUACGGCCGCAAGGCUUAAACUUAAAUGAAUUGACGGGG